Molecule: long non-coding RNA, 1115 nt
Organism: Planococcus citri (citrus mealybug)
Lineage: Eukaryota; Metazoa; Arthropoda; Insecta; Hemiptera; Pseudococcidae
Exons: 2
Source: RefSeq, a predicted model, not a curated record
UUUUAUUUCAUGAAGUUACUGAGAAAAGCAGAAGCAGAAACAAUGAUUACUGGAUUCAAAGUUCCUUACAAAGCUGCGAUUUUUUUCGUGGGAAUCACAGCAGUACUUUUCAUGGAAGCACACUCGGAGAAAUCUUCCUUACCGUCGAGUCCACAAAAAAUUGAAUCUGACAACCGUUCAAAUGCUGAAGCCAAUCCAGACUCAAACCGUGUCCAACUCAGUCUCACAGACAAAAACACAACUCCUGUUGAGGCGCCAAAAACAGAAAUCAAUCCAAAUUGCGACCCCUUGCCAAAAAGUUACGAGUAUGAAGAAUUAUCAGAUAUUCUAUCAUGUGAUAUACUCGCACAAACAAAUCCCCUCAAUUAUAUUAUCGUCAAGACGAUGAAAAUUCCGAAAAACUCUCUUCCCUUCGUCAAAUCUGUACUUGAUAAGACUAUCGUAAAAAAAAUUCUCCCAGAAUACUACGUGCCAUACGCUAAUUUAUUAUCGUCGUUCUUGCGGUGUUGGAUACCUUUCGCCAAUGCAGAUAGAUUCGUAAAAGAUAUUAGAAAACAACGUUCCGCAAACAAAGAUGGUUUUGAUUCAUUACUGCGAGAGAUUUCUUCAUCAGUUGAAUUAUCCGAACUAUUCUCAUGGGAUAUUCUUUCCGAUCCUGAAUCGCCAACGCGUCUUUUUCAUAAGUUUUUAAACAUGUCGAACGACGAAAUCACGAAUUUGAGAAUCCAGUUGACAAAUUUUCGGCAAAAGUGGUGGAGAAAAUACCCGAAAGAUGUUCCAUUUUCUGUUAAGUAUGGCUGGUAUGCUAACAACUUACUCGAGGUUUUACAAGAUGAAAAUGCUCUGGAGAAUCUGAAACGUGAUAUGGUUGAAAUUCAACGCAAAUCGACUUCUGAUUCAAGCACAGUCAUUAUUUGAUGGAUCCAAAAUAAAUGUUUAAAUGUUUAUGCAUCUAAGUGAAUAGGCAGAUUCUAGAUACCUUUACCCAUCUAUCUCUCGAAAUUUAAGCAUUUGAUAUUUAUUUGUUAAGUACGUAUGUACAUAUUUGCAUACAAUAUGUAAUACCCUGCAUUAUUUCAAAAUGAAUUUUGAGUAAACUUCGCUAUUGAGUAGUU